This 293-nucleotide ribosomal RNA is filed under the name uncultured bacterium. RNAcentral's name for it is "partial 16S ribosomal RNA". It matches the Rfam family "Archaeal small subunit ribosomal RNA", at positions 455 to 747 of the family's 1478-position model. The record is from RNAcentral.
GUGCCAGCCGCCGCGGUAACACCGGCAGCCCAAGUGAUGGCCGAUAUUAUUGGGCCUAAAGCGUCCGUAGCUGGCCGCGCAAGUUCGUCGGGAAAUCCACCUGCCCAACAGGUGGGCGUCCGGCGGAAACUGUGUGGCUUGGAACCGGAAGGCUCAGAGGGUACGUCCGGGGUAGGAGUGAAAUCCCGUAAUCCCGGACGGACUACCGAUGGCGAAAGCACUCUGAGAAGACGGCUUCGACAGUGAGGGACGAAAGCCAGGGUCUCCAACCGGAUUAGAUACCCGUGUAGUCC